This 481-nucleotide long non-coding RNA is filed under the name Homo sapiens (human). RNAcentral describes it as "non-protein coding lnc-SLC13A4-2:1". The record is from RNAcentral. Lineage: Eukaryota; Metazoa; Chordata; Mammalia; Primates; Hominidae.
CGCGGCAGCCCGUGGAGUCGGCUGAGGGAAAAGCGAGGCAAGGCAGGCGGAUCCUUUCAAUAUACACUUCCAGAAAAAGGGAAGCCCCGUGGUGGCCCUUGAAAAGUAAAAGGAAGUUGGGAAGUGAAUGAAGUGAGGUCGUCAAAGUCCUACAUUUUAGCUUUCAGUGCUGAACUUCCUUCUCCCUUAAAUUAUUAUAAACUUUUGCUGCUGUUUAAUAAACGUGAAGAUGUCUCGCAGUCCUGAUGCGAAGGAAGACCCUGUGGAGUGCCCUCUUUGCAUGGAGCCCUUGGAGAUAGAUGAUAUCAACUUUUUCCCUUGCACCUGUGGCUACCAGAUUUGCCGAUUUUGUUGGCAUCGAAUUCGCACUGAUGAAAAUGGGCUUUGUCCUGCAUGUAGAAAGCCAUAUCCAGAAGACCCAGCAGUUUAUAAACCACUCUCCCAGGAAGAGCUGCAAAGGAUAAAGAAUGAGAAAAAACAG